CAAAGAUUAAGCCAUGCAUGUCUAAGCACAAGCCGAAAAUGGUGAAGCCGCGAAUGGCUCAUUACAACAGCCUUCGUUUAUUUGAUCUUGAAAUUCUACUUGGAUAACUGUGGUAAUUCUAGAGCUAAUACACGCACAAAAGCUUCAGCCUCGCGGCAGGAGCGCAUUUAUUAGUACAAAACCAAUCGGGCUCUGCCCGUUGUCUGGUGAAUCUGAAUAACUGAGCCGAUCGCAUGGUCUCUGCACCGGCGACGUAUCAUUCAAGUGUCUGCCCUAUCAACUUUCGAUGGUAGUUUAUGUGACUACCAUGGUUAUAACGGGUAACGGAGAAUAAGGGUUCGACUCCGGAGAAGCAGCCUGAGAAACGGCUACUACAUCCAAGGAAG
This 386-nucleotide ribosomal RNA is filed under the name Desmoscolex sp. 84L10H15. Its description in RNAcentral is "bacterial SSU rRNA". It matches the Rfam family "Eukaryotic small subunit ribosomal RNA", at positions 38 to 424 of the family's 1831-position model. The record is from RNAcentral. Lineage: Eukaryota; Metazoa; Nematoda; Chromadorea; Desmoscolecida; Desmoscolecidae.